AGUCGGAUGUGAAAGCCCCGGGCUUAACCUGGGAAUUGCAUUCGAUACUGCGUGGCUAGAGUAUGGUAGAGGUAAGUGGAAUUCCAGGUGUAGCGGUGAAUUGCAUAAAUGUCUGGAGGAAUCACCAUUGGCGAAGGACGGCUUACUGGACCAGAAUUGACACUAAGGUACGAAAGCGUGGGUAGCAAACAGGAUUAGAUACCAUGGUAGUCCACGCCCUAAACGAUGUCAAUUAGUUGUUGGGAGCCUUAAUAGCUCUUAGUGACGAAGCUAAAGCGUUAAGUUGACCGCCUGGGGAGUACGGCCGCAAGGUUGAAACUCAAAGGAACAGACGGGGGCCCGCACAAGCGGUGGAGCAUGUGGCUUAAUCCGAUGCUACGCGAAGAACCUUACCAGCCCAUGACAUCCUCGGAACUUACUAGAGAUAGUUUGGUGCCUUCGGGAACCGAGUGACAGGUGCUGCAUGGCUGUCGUCAGCUCGUGUUGUGAGAUGUUGGGUUAAGUCCCGCAAAGAGCGCGACCCUUAUCGUUAGUUGCCAGCACUUCGGGUGGGAACUCUAAGGAGACUGCCGGUGAUAAACCGGAGGAAGGUGGGGAAUGACGUCAAGUCAUCAUGGCCCUUACGGGCUGGGCUACACACGAGGUACAAUGGUCGAUACAGAGGGAAGCAAACUCGCGAGAGCCAGCAAAUCCCAGAAAGCCGAUCUUAGUCCGGAUCGUAG
RNAcentral lists this ribosomal RNA (722 nucleotides) under uncultured organism. RNAcentral describes it as "bacterial SSU rRNA". It matches the Rfam family "Bacterial small subunit ribosomal RNA", at positions 586 to 1303 of the family's 1533-position model. The record is from RNAcentral.